GUGUGCGGAGCCGCUGACCCGUCAGACUGAGCGCGCGCAGGUGAGAUUUACUGAUUUAGACUUUUAAUGUUGUUUUAUUUUGUUGUUGUUGUUUACGUGUUUAACCGAACCCGAGUGUACCUGUCAGUGUCUGACAGCCGCCCCACCAGACUCCGUUUAUUAUUUAUAUAUAUAUAAUAAUUAUAAUAAUAAAGCCUCACAGCGGGACAGCACGCACACAUCGACGCCCUCACACACGUCAUCACGUACUGUCCGUUUAUACGGCUGCGUCAUAAUUAACGCCAAUUAACGCCUAAUAUUAAUUAAAGGUCAGACAACGCGGGACAGACCUGUUGACACCUUUCAGAUGCGCCCCCUCGCGGACAGAUUGUAUUACAGAGAGACAGACAGACAGACAGACAGACAGAGAGACAGACAGACAGAGAGGUAGACAGACAGAGAGACAGACAGAGAGGGAGACAGAGAGACAGACAGAGAGGGAGACAGAGAGACAGACAGAGAGGUAGACAGACAGAGAGGUAGACAGACAGACAGACAGACAGAGAGACAGACAGAGAGGGAGACAGAGAGACAGACAGAGAGACAGACAGAGAGGGAGACAGAGAGACAGACAGAGAGGGAGACAGACAGACAGACAGACAGAGAGACAGACAGACAGAGAGGUAGACAGAGAGACAGACAGACAGACAGAGAGGUAGACAGACAGACAGGCAGAGAGACAGACAGACAGACAGAGAGGUAGACAGACAGACAGAGAGGUAGACAGACAGACAGACAGAGAGGUAGACAGACAGACAGACAGAGAGGUAGACAGACAGACAGACAGAGAGGUAGACAGACAGACAGAGAGGUAGACAGACAGACAGACAGAGAGGUAGACAGACAGACAGACAGAGAGGUAGACAGACAGACAGACAGACAGAGAGGUAGACAGACAGAUAGACAGAGAGGUAGACAGACAGACAGACAGAGAGGUAGACAGACAGAUAGAUAUUCCUUUAUUUGUACCACAAUGGGGGAAUUCCAAUGUAACAGCAGCAGAGUGGAUAGAGAGAAAAAUAGUAUAAAAAACAGUAAGAGUAGGAAAAUAAUAAUAAUAAUAAUAAUAAUAAUAAUAAUAAGUCUACUGGGUUGUUAUACAGUCUGACAGCAGCAGGAAGGAAGGACCUACGAUAUCUCUCCGUCACACAUUUGGGGUGAAGGAGUCUGUCACUGAAGGAGCUGCUCAGUGUACUGAUGGUGUCCUGCAUGGGGGGGGAGACAUUGUCCAUCAGUGAUGAUAACUUUGCUAUUAUCCUCCUCUCUCCCACCACCUGUACUGAGUCGAGGGGGCAACCCAGGACAGAGCUGGUUUAUUAUAAUUAUUAUUAUAUUAUAAUUAAUAUUUCUGAUUAAGGUGAUAUUAUUACACUGUUUAAUAAACACAGUCUGUAGUUUCUAUAGAUACAUAUACAGUUAUAUAUGUAGAAAGUAAAUCAAUGAAUACAGUGAUUAGAAAUUAAAGGAAACAAACUGAUGUGAACUUCAGCUGAAUGUUUAUUAUUUAUUAAUUUGAUUUAUUCACAUUAUUGUUUUGCUGUUACAUUACGGUAAAUACAUAAAUAUGGAUUAAAAAACAUUAGAAAAAGAACUUAUUCCUAAAUCUGAAGAUUAAACAGUGAAUCAAUGAAGACCCUUGUGGUUCUAAGCCUAACCCCUGUGGUUCUAAUAAUACUUUAACAACUCCUAGAAAUCAGCCUUAAUAGGAAUGUACACAACAACAGCCUCCACCAGAACCACACAUUUAAAGGACUAAUUAAAUCCCAACUACUACUGCUACUACACAAACAGUGGACUUUAAAGAGGCCACUCAGACCCUCUUCAGGGCGUUAAAACCAGGGGAUACUCCAGGUCCUUCCUCACAUCCAAUCAGGAAAGUCUUCCUCACCACGAGACCAGAGGACAGGAGAAACAUCCUCCCAUUAAUCACCACCAGAGGGGUAUUGCACAAAACCAGGAUAAGGGAUUAACCCGGGAUAUGUUGGUUAUCCUGGCUGAAUUUAGCCUCAAGUCGGUUGCAUGAAAGCAGGUUAAACUUAUCCCGGCCAGGUUACUAUGGUGAUUUAUUCUCUGCAGUUAGCCUGCUCCAGACCAGGCUAACAGCCAGGCUAACAGCCAGGCUAACAUUAAUCCUAGUGAUUCUCCUGUAUUUCCACCGUCAAUCCUGUGAGGAAUUAAUGUGUUUUACAGCAUGUCCAUGGUCUUUCUAAGUAUAUUACAUCAUUUUAAUUAUCCUGCAUUAAAAUAUUACAUAUAUGUUGUAAUUUCUUAUUCCAUUUAAAUCUGUUGGCUGUUUGUAAUUGCAACAGUCUUUUUAUAUUGAUUCAAGUGGUAGU
Molecule: long non-coding RNA, 2375 nt
Organism: Dicentrarchus labrax (European seabass)
Lineage: Eukaryota; Metazoa; Chordata; Actinopteri; Moronidae
Exons: 3
Source: RefSeq, a predicted model, not a curated record